This 585-nucleotide ribosomal RNA is filed under the name uncultured bacterium. RNAcentral describes it as "partial 16S ribosomal RNA". It matches the Rfam family "Bacterial small subunit ribosomal RNA", at positions 355 to 937 of the family's 1533-position model. The record is from RNAcentral.
UGGGGAAUUUUGGACAAUGGGCGAAAGCCUGAUCCAGCAAUGCCGCGUGUGUGAAGAAGGCCUUCGGGUUGUAAAGCACUUUUGUCCGGAAAGAAAUCCUUGGCUCUAAUACAGUCGGGGGAUGACGGUACCGGAAGAAUAAGCACCGGCUAACUACGUGCCAGCAGCCGCGGUAAUACGUAGGGUGCGAGCGUUAAUCGGAAUUACUGGGCGUAAAGCGUGCGCAGGCGGUUUGCUAAGACCGAUGUGAAAUCCCCGGGCUCAACCUGGGAACUGCAUUGGUGACUGGCAGGCUAGAGUAUGGCAGAGGGGGGUAGAAUUCCACGUGUAGCAGUGAAAUGCGUAGAGAUGUGGAGGAGUACCGAUGGCGAAGGCAGCCCCCUGGGCCAAAUACUGACGCUCAUGCACGAAAGCGUGGGGAGCAAACAGGAUUAGAUACCCUGGUAGUCCACGCCCUAAACGAUGUCAACUAGUUGUUGGGGAUUCAUUUCCUUAGUAACGUAGCUAACGCGUGAAGUUGACCGCCUGGGGAGUACGGUCGCAAGAUUAAAACUUAAAUGAAUUGACGGGGUCAUAGCUGUUUCC